AUAAUGGUACACCUGCCCCGCGUAUGCGGGGCCAGCUCGGAGAGAUCCUCGGAGGGGUGAGAGUCCCGUGG
This 71-nucleotide non-coding RNA is filed under the name unclassified sequences. The record is from Rfam.